CCUACGUGUGGCAGCAGUGAGGAAUAUUGGUCAAUGGGCGGGAGCCUGAACCAGCCAAGCCGCGUGAGGGAAGAAGGUCCAGCGUAUCGUAAACCUCUUUUGUCAGGGAAUAAAGGCGGGGACUAGUCCCCGGAUGAGGGUACCUUAAGAAAAAGCAUCGGCUAACUCCGUGCCAGCAGCCGCGGUAAUACGGAGGAUGCGAGCGUUAUCCGGAUUUAUUGGGUUUAACGGGUGCGCAGGGGGCCUGUUAAGUCAGCGGUAAAAGCCCGGGGCUCAACCCCGGCGAGCCGUUGAAACUGGCAGGCUGGAGUUGGGGAGAGGUACGCGGAAUGCGCGGUGUAGCGGUGAAAUGCUUAGAUAUCGCGCAGAACCCCGAUUGCGAAGGCAGCGUACCGGAUCUACACUGACGCUGAGGCACGAAAGCGUGGGUAUCGAACAGGAUUAGAUACCCGUGUAGUC
This 459-nucleotide ribosomal RNA is filed under the name uncultured bacterium. RNAcentral describes it as "partial 16S ribosomal RNA". It matches the Rfam family "Bacterial small subunit ribosomal RNA", at positions 338 to 795 of the family's 1533-position model. The record is from RNAcentral.